CUCCACUCCUACCUUUUGGUCAUGGUCGACUCUGAUGUGCUGAGGUGUUCAGCAUAAAGCCACACACACACACACAUAGACACACACACGGACAGACAGUGUAGAGAGAGAGGG
Long non-coding RNA from Salarias fasciatus (jewelled blenny), 114 nucleotides. RefSeq lists it as uncharacterized. The transcript is spliced from 3 exons. The record is from RefSeq and is a predicted model, not a curated record. NCBI's taxonomy places the organism in Eukaryota, Metazoa, Chordata, Actinopteri, Blenniiformes, Blenniidae.